This 1196-nucleotide long non-coding RNA is filed under the name Olea europaea subsp. europaea. Lineage: Eukaryota; Viridiplantae; Streptophyta; Magnoliopsida; Lamiales; Oleaceae. The record is from RNAcentral.
GUUCGCUUGAAAGCCCAUUUAUAGUAGGAAUCCCAUUCAUAUUAGGAGACUCAUUAUCGCCUAAGCGAGAUGGAGGAAGUAGGGGCAAGCACGACAGCCUGGUGCGCUGUCGCCGGUCUGUUUUUCUUAAUUUUCGAUGGCCACCAAUCUAGGUAACCAAGUAUCUCGAAGCAUUAUGCACAGGAAUAGUCGGGUUUCCAGCACUCUUCACAAAGCGGUAUCAUAGUUGACCAAAUGCGACGAGGAUGAGAUGAGUUUUGCUGGGAUGUUUGUGAAUAACGAAAGUCGACACCUCCGGGCGAGAGAUGGGUUGGACCAAUCAUUGGAUUACGUUGCAAUACCCAAUUGAAGGAAGAGAGUCUGUGGCUAGGAUUUGCGAUCAGAUUUGUUGGAAGCUAUCAUUCAAGCCCAUUAGGAAUUGAUAGACUCAAUCGGAAUCUUGAAUUUCAGAGAGGGAUUUGCUUGCACCAUAGGUACGUGGAUUGGUUGGUUGUGAGGAAGCUAAUUCAUCCCAAAUUUCUUUUAAUUUGCCAUAAUAGGAGAUGAUGAACUGUUGGUCUUGGUGGAGAUUGGCUAUUUCACGCUUAAACCUGAAAAUCUUGAUUUUAUUACUCUGUUGAAAAUGAGUAUCCAAUACAAUCCAAAGGUUAUAUGGUGUAUCAUAGUAGAUGAGAUCCCUAUAAGAAACGAUCGAAUGAGUGACGAAACCAAGACAUAAUCAUAUCAUAACAUCAAUCCCAAAAGAAGAGCGGCAACAACAUCAUUUGUUCGAAGUUUAAUGGUGCCGAGGACAAAAUCUAGUUUGUUAUUUUGCAUUCAGGGCACGGGUUAUGGCAAUAUGCCAAGCAGGGUAAUUGUUGCCAUUGAAGAUUGCAUCUAAAAGGGAUUGGUUAGGUUGAUCUAAAGAAUGUAAGAAGUAAGGAGAUGCAGCAUCUGUGAAAGGUUUUGCAACAAAAACAGGAUGAUUUUCAUCCAUGGAGAAGGUAUGGAAUGGCUAAACCUUAUGAUUUUAGUAUUAGAAUGAAGUAAUUCUCAUUGAUUUAUGAUUUACUAUACAUUGGUAUUUAUAAUACAUGUGGAAUUUGCUAUAAUAGGAAACGAAACUAAUCUACGAAUGAAAGUAUACAAUAUCUUUGACAAAAAGAAUAAUCUUUAAUUACGGUUAAUAGUUCAAGUUUUGCUAUUGUGGAAUAGGC